This 367-nucleotide long non-coding RNA is filed under the name Physcomitrium patens. RNAcentral describes it as "long non-coding RNA (PPAT_LNC008676)". Lineage: Eukaryota; Viridiplantae; Streptophyta; Bryopsida; Funariales; Funariaceae. The record is from RNAcentral.
UAAUAUGUUCUUUACUUACUUAAAAAAAGAUAUGAUUUUCUUACCAUUCACCAAGUUUUUUUCUUUUUUUCAAAAGAUAUCUUCUUUUAUUUAAUAUCUUCAUGCAUUCCAAGAUCUCUUGCAAGAUUUUUUACUCUUAAAACUUGUCUCUUUAUAUUCAAAGGUUGGUACUCCUUAUUGUAAAUAUCUUCAAUAUCUUGAUUAUCUUUAUUGGUGGUUCUAGCAAUUAUAGACAUAUGUUGGUCUACCUUCUUUGAUUCUUCAUCUUAAUUUUUAUUUCUACUAUCCUCAUUAUCAUCAUCUUUUCUUUUUUUUUUCUUAGAAUUAAAGAUUUAUCUACAAAUAUAUCAUUAUUUCUACUUGGAUA